RNAcentral lists this ribosomal RNA (496 nucleotides) under uncultured bacterium. Its description in RNAcentral is "partial 16S ribosomal RNA". It matches the Rfam family "Bacterial small subunit ribosomal RNA", at positions 28 to 506 of the family's 1533-position model. The record is from RNAcentral.
GAUGAACGCUGGCGGCGUGCCUAAUACAUGCAAGUCGAGCGAACAGACGAGGAGCUUGCUCCUCUGACGUUAGCGGCGGACGGGUGAGUAACACGUGGAUAACCUACCUAUAAGACUGGGAUAACUUCGGGAAACCGGAGCUAAUACCGGAUAAUAUAUUGAACCGCAUGGUUCAAUAGCGAAAGACGGUUUUGCUGUCACUUAUAGAUGGAUCCGCGCCGCAUUAGCUAGUUGGUAAGGUAACGGCUUACCAAGGCGACGAUGCGUAGCCGACCUGAGAGGGUGAUCGGCCACACGGGAACUGAGACCCGGCCCCAGCUCCUAGGGGAGGCAGAAGUAGGGAAUUUUCCCCAAGGGGCGAAAGCCUGACGGAGCAACGCCGGGGGGGUGAUGAAGGUCUUCGGAUCGUAAAACUUUUUUAUUGGGGAAAAACAAAUGUGUAAGUAACUAUGCACGUUUUGACGGUACCAAAUCAGAAAGCCACGGCUAAUUACGU